RNAcentral lists this transfer RNA (68 nucleotides) under Marmota monax (woodchuck). RNAcentral's name for it is "tRNA.Ala". Lineage: Eukaryota; Metazoa; Chordata; Mammalia; Rodentia; Sciuridae. The record is from RNAcentral.
GGACUAUAGCUCAGUGACAGAGCGCUUGCCUCGCAGGUAUGAGGCCCUGGGUUCAAUCCUCAGCACCA